Molecule: ribosomal RNA, 450 nt
Filed under: uncultured eukaryote
Lineage: Eukaryota
Description: bacterial SSU rRNA
Rfam family: Eukaryotic small subunit ribosomal RNA
Source: RNAcentral
GAAAACUCACCAGGUCAGGACACGGUAAGGAUUGACGGACUGAAGGCUCUUUCUCGAUUCCGUGGAAAGUGGUGCAUGGCCGUUUUGGUUGGUGGAUCGAUCCGUCUGGUUAAUUCCGUUAACGAACGAGACCUCGGCACUCCGAAUAGCGCGGCGGACGUCGCGGCCUCCGGGCCGUCUUCCGCACGAGCUUCUUAGAGGGACCGUCCCCCGCCGGGGAAGGAGGUGCGAGGCAACGACAGGUCUGUGAUGCCCUUAGAUGUUCUGGGCCGCACGCGCAUUACACUGACGCGUCCAACGGGUGACUCCCGACCCGAAGGGGCCGGGGAAUCCGCAAGGCGCGUCGUGAUGGGGAUUGAACGUUGCAAUUGUUGUUCACGAACGAGGAAUUCCUAGUAGGCGCGGGUCAUCAACCCGCGCCGAUUACGUCCCUGCCCUUUGUACACACCG